RNAcentral lists this ribosomal RNA (465 nucleotides) under uncultured bacterium. Its description in RNAcentral is "SSU rRNA". It matches the Rfam family "Bacterial small subunit ribosomal RNA", at positions 26 to 518 of the family's 1533-position model. The record is from RNAcentral.
AGAACGAACGCUGGCGGCGUGGCUAAGACAUGCAAGUCGCACGGACGUAGCAAUACGUUAGUGGCGAACGGGUGAGUAAUGAAUCGCUAAUGUGCCCCGGACUCUGGGAUAGCCAGCCGAAAGGCUGGGUAAUACCAGAUGAUAUAACUUGACGGCAUCGUCGAGUUCUCAAAGGUCCGCCGGUCUGGGAGCAGGCGAUUUCGUAUCAGCUUGUUGGUGAGGUAACGGCUCACCAAGGCGACGACGCGUAGCCGGACUGAGAGGUUGGCCGGCCACAUUGGGACUGAGACACUGCCCAGACUCCUACGGGGGGCUGCAGUAACGAAUCUUCCGCAAUGUACGAAAGUAUGACGGAGCGACGCCGCGUGCAGGACGAAGCCCGUUCGGGGUGUAAACUGCUGUCAGGGGUUAGAAGUUCUGAUCAACCCCAGAGGAAGGCACGGCUAACUCUGUGCCAGCAGCCGC